RNAcentral lists this ribosomal RNA (292 nucleotides) under uncultured bacterium. Its description in RNAcentral is "partial 16S ribosomal RNA". It matches the Rfam family "Bacterial small subunit ribosomal RNA", at positions 505 to 796 of the family's 1533-position model. The record is from RNAcentral.
GUGUCAGCCGCCGCGGUAAUACGUAGGCAGCAAGCGUUGUUCGGAGUUACUGGGCGUAAAGGGUGUGUAGGCGGUUCCUUAAGUUUGCUGUGAAAUCUCCCGGCUUAACCGGGAGGGUGCGGUGAAUACUGAGGGACUAGAGUACGGGAGAGGAAAGUGGAAUUCCUGGUGUAGCGGUGAAAUGCGUAGAUAUCAGGAGGAACACCGGUGGUGUAGACGGCUUUCUGGACCGUAACUGACGCUGAGACACGAAAGCGUGGGUAGCAAACAGGAUUAGAUACCCUGGUAGUCC